Molecule: long non-coding RNA, 661 nt
Organism: Gasterosteus aculeatus aculeatus (three-spined stickleback)
Lineage: Eukaryota; Metazoa; Chordata; Actinopteri; Perciformes; Gasterosteidae
Source: Ensembl
AUCGUAUCAGCCGCAUGGUUACCCGAGCCACGAAGCCUCCUCCGAACAAAAAGCGAGAGAAGGGAAAGGCCGGUAAUGGAGAGGAAGAAAGAAGAAGACGAGCUGACCUUCGAGGGGGGGGGUCACAUAGUCGGACAGGCCCAACUUUGCAUUUGCUGAAAGGAACAAAGGCCGAACGACGAGACGGUGCAAUAAAAACAACCGGAUCGAAGGCAACUGGAAGUGAUGAAGGACUCGCUCACACUUACGUCGACGCGCGUUUCGAAUCACAGUGAUGUACGAUCCGCGGCCAUCAGCCAGGCCGACAUUGAUCAGGAGCGGCUGCCAGCGCGCCGUCAAAUCAAUCACGGCGAUUGAUUCAGCAGCUCGAGGAGAAUGCAUGAAUGCAUGAAUGCAUGAAUGCACGGCGCAGGGUUUAACGUUGAGCACCGCAAGAAGAACACGUCGAUGUGACGUUAACAACCAUCACCCUUGAUCAUGACGGUAUCGGUAUCAUAUUAUUAAUAAGUCAGAGAAGGUUGAUCCGAAUCUCAGGGGACGGGUUUGGAGGAGAGACGAGCGGCUGCACGUCCCGACACACACUGGCGAGAGUGAUCCUCAGAUUCAUUCCAACAACUGCUUAUGUGCUUUGGCAGCAGUUUGUGAAUAAUGCUCAUCACCC